RNAcentral lists this small nucleolar RNA (166 nucleotides) under Pichia membranifaciens NRRL Y-2026. Lineage: Eukaryota; Fungi; Ascomycota; Pichiomycetes; Pichiales; Pichiaceae. The record is from RNAcentral.
UCUCCCAUUGCCUCGCUCGGCCACAUGCACCCAUGUGUGGUCUUGAGCUGGAUGCCGCCCCAUGGGGCGGCAACGGGACAUAGCGACCUCUUGCGGGCUCAACUUUGAGUACGCUUGCACCACGGCAUGCCAAUGGUGCAAGUGUAAUUAUUCGAGCCUGACAUCU